UUUCAUGGCGGCUGUAUGUGUGGGCACCUUCGGGUGCGCCGGGUUCUGACGUCCUCGGUCUGCUACCCGCAUACAGUCGCCACCCAU
This 87-nucleotide non-coding RNA is filed under the name Pseudomonas japonica. The record is from RNAcentral. Lineage: Bacteria; Pseudomonadati; Pseudomonadota; Gammaproteobacteria; Pseudomonadales; Pseudomonadaceae.